CSGCGMGCUACCRUGCAGUCGAGCGGAGRAGGUAGCUUGCUACUGRWCYUAGCGGCGGACGGGUGAGUAWUGCUUAGGAAUCUGCCUAUUAGUGGGGGACAACAUCUCGAAAGGGAUGCUAAUACCGCAUACGUCCUACGGGAGAAAGCAGGGGAUCUUCGGACCUUGCGCUAAUAGAUGAGCCUAAGUCGGAUUAGCUAGUUGGUGGGGUAAAGGCCUACCAAGGCGACGAUCUGUAGCGGGUCUGAGAGGAUGAUCCGCCACACUGGGACUGAGACACGGCCCAGACUCCUACGGGAGGCAGCAGUGGGGAAUAUUGGACAAUGGGCGCAAGCCUGAUCCAGCCAUGCCGCGUGUGUGAAGAAGGCCUUAUGGUUGUAAAGCACUUUAAGCGAGGAGGAGGCUACUUUAGAUAAUACCUAGAGAUAGUGGACGUUACUCGCAGAAUAAGCACCGGCUAACUCUGUGCCAGCAGCCGCGGUAAUACAGAGGGUGCAAGCGUUAAUCGGAUUUACUGGGCGUAAAGCGCGCGUAGGCGGCUAAUUAAGUCAAAUGUGAAAUCCCCGAGCUUAACUUGGGAAUUGCAUUCGAUACUGGUUAGCUAGAGUGUGGGAGAGGAUGGUAGAAUUCCAGGUGUAGCGGUGAAAUGCGUAGAGAUCUGGAGGAAUACCGAUGGCGAAAGCAGCCAUCUGGCCUAACACUGACGCUGAGGUGCGAAAGCAUGGGGAGCAAACAGGAUUAGAUACCCUGGUAGUCCAUGCCGUAAACGAUGUCUACUAGCCGUUGGGGCCUUUGAGGCUUUAGKGCGCAGCUAACSCGAUAAGUAGACCGCCUGGGGGAGUACGGUCGCAGACUAAACUCAAUGAUGACGGGGGCCCGCMCAGCGGUGGAGCAUGKGGUUUAUCGAUGCACGCGARAACCUACCUGUCUGACAUAGUAGGACUUCAGAGAUGGAUUGUGCUCGUACUACAUAMGUGCUGGCAUGACUGUUCGUCAG
RNAcentral lists this ribosomal RNA (997 nucleotides) under Acinetobacter sp. Its description in RNAcentral is "bacterial SSU rRNA". It matches the Rfam family "Bacterial small subunit ribosomal RNA", at positions 40 to 1058 of the family's 1533-position model. The record is from RNAcentral. Lineage: Bacteria; Pseudomonadati; Pseudomonadota; Gammaproteobacteria; Moraxellales; Moraxellaceae.